CCUGGUUUCCUUCUAACUUACCAACAUUCCUUCACAGUCUCUUUUGCUGACUCAUUAUCCUCUAUCUUUAAUAAGAGGUUUUUCAGGGCCCUUUUAUUUUCUCACUAUACUCUUUUCCUUGGCCAUUGCCUCUUCAACCAUGACUUCUAUUACAAUAGGAAUGUCAAUCACUUUCACCUGUCUUCAAUUUAGAUCUUUCCUCUAACACCCGGAUAUGUAAUUCAACUCUUAACUUGAUAUCUCACUUGGAAGAGUUACAAGCCUCUCUGAAAAAAAUCCAUACAGGAUGGAAUGCAUGGCAUUUUCUCUGAAACUUCCUCCCUGUCCAGUGUUAUCUACCUUGGAACGAUUGUCUCAUUUAGAGGGACUCUCUAACCUGAGUACACAUUUGAAACAUCUGAGGGCUUUGAAACAUACCUGCUCCUGGACCACCUGCUGAACCAAUUAAAUCAGAAUUUCUGUUGUGAAGAUCUCCACGUGAGUUUAAGCUUUCCUGCUCAACUGUUAGUUCCAUGAAGGCAACAGCCAUGCCUGCUUCGUUCACUGAAAUAUCUUCGUUUCCUAACACACAGAAAGUCAUCAUUUUUUGACGGAUGAAAGAAUGGAUGAAUGCCUAGUCUUGGAGACAUCUACUUGCAAUAAAGGUUAGAUGAAGGAAAUGGAUGCCAGUGGGAGAUUUGUGGAUCUAUUUCACCAGAUUUCACUCUGCUGACUCAGCAAAAUGGUCCCCGAAGAAAGUGAAGAAACAGAGGCAAAGGGAGCAUAAGCAAUUUUCCAAAGGCCAUACAACAUGUAAGUGGCUGAGCCAAGACUGAAAUCACCAGGUUCUUAACCACUAGGCCAUAUUGCAUUGGAGUGUUGCCUCCUGGAGUAAGACUAGGCUAAAAGCUUCAUAGAAACCUAAAGGAGUUAGAGAAGGAAGAUCUCUCAAUGGAAAUGCUAAGAAGAGACACAAGGAAAGACACAUCACUAAGGAGAGACCCAAGGAAAAUGGCUCUAUGACUACAGUCCAUUUAAAGAAUGAGGGCGUUCCUUCUACCAAGUUACAGGUGGAGAUGUGUUUACCUGCUGGAUACCAAUGCUUCUAGCAUCAGGGAGAAGUUGAGCCCUGGAGGAAACAUUGCCUCUAAGUUUGUGUUCUGGUGCUACAUACUGCAAAGCAAAGUAUCUACAACAACUGCAAUAAGCCACCCUGAUCAUUCUUCAACCUAAAGAUUUGCAACUCAUCCAAGUUCAACUGGUUGAAAGAGCCUGCCUCCUCACAGCAGUGCCUGAUUGACACUAUGAACUGAAAUACUAAAGGCACUUCUUCUUUCAGGAUAACUGAUUAAAUGUUCUGGCUGGUAAAGCAGGUCAUCACUCAACUGUUGUGGCUUUGGCAAGAUGCCACCAAAGCAGCCCAUCAUGGUUGGCAGAGAUGUAAAGGCCCCACAUAUUACAGAACACCCUUUGAUAUGCAGACUAAUUAAUAGAAGACCUAAGCCUUUCAAGGGACUUCUAUACCAUAGGAUGUUAGGAGACAUCAAGAACACAAAUGAAACUAAGAUUUUCAUACAGGGUUCAGGUUUUGUUACUUCAGAUCUAUAAUCUAAAGUUCUGUAAUCAUCACAUCACUCCAAGAACAAAAUUUGAUAGGCAAAAUUCUUCACACUCAUUUCAUGGAGAACCUUGAGGGUCCAGAGUGAGGCUUGAUGGCAAGCAGGAGCUCCCUGUCCCCUGUCUCCACCCAUGCAACCCCUAGCUCCCCCAUUGUUUUCACUCUAGAUUUGUGAAGUAUAACAACCUUAAAAUCUUAAGAUUUAAUCUUUAAAUAUUAAGAGAUUUGGGUUUCUGUAUCAACAAUCUUUAAAUAUUAAGAGAUUUUUCCGAAGAUUAAUGACUUUCCUAGAGUUGGCCUACAAAUUCACCACCUCAACUGGAUGACUUGCUUUGGAAUAAAUUUCUAACACCGCAAGUGAAUUGAAUAUUUUCUUCCUUUUUUAUGUAAUCUAAUAUAGUACAUUUUUAAAAAUUUAUAGGAUGUCCAGACACUUAUAGCUUAUCAUUCUAUGAUUCAAAAGAAUUUGGUAUAAUUGCAUUGAUAAGCUUACUGCCCUGGGCACCAAAGUAACCUAGAAUAUGGAGAAGUAGCUUUUGGUGACAUGCAUCUAUUUAUAUCUCUAGCAUUUACUAAUUAAUUAAUUUGUUUAACAAAUACACAUUCAGUACCAUUAUAUGUUUGGCAUUGUCAUAGAUGUUAGAAAAUCAAAUAUAAAAAAGAGGUAAUUUCUUCACAACACACGGAAAUAAGAGUAUCUCUAGGAAUUGUCUCUAGUUGAAAUUGUUUUCUCCUACCCACCUCUACGAUUCAUCAAUUUAGCUUUCCUUCACUGUAGUGACAGGUGUUUUAAUCUCACCUAACAAUAUGCCUGAUUAAGCUUCAACAUACACAGAGAGAGGCCUGAAAAACAUAACUUGGUCUCUAUGUCUAAGUUUAUGUUGUUAGUAAUAGUUAUAAGAGCCACAGCGAUGGCACCAUGGCGUUACCUUCUCUGAAGGCUUUCCCAGCUUUCCUAGCAAAGCUCUUUUCUCUUCCCUCUGGUUAAAAAAUAAAUAAAAAAAAAAUAAAGGUUUUUCCUUUAUUGUUAUUCUUAUGUGUCUGAUUUUAUCACAUUUAUUGUUUUGUUUUCUGAUUGUAUAAGUCAUACAUGCUCAUUUAGAAAACUUGGAAACUAUGGAAAAAGAGAAAUAAAAAAUAAAAUCCACUCUAAUCUACCUUGUUUCUAUCUCUAAGGUAGCAUUCGUCACUUUGGUAUGAAGUUGAUGUGAGUAGAUCUGUCUAAUCAACUAAAUUUGGAGCUUCUCCUGAGAAGAACGCAUGUAUUCAGCUCUGUAUUCCAGCUGUAGGAAGUGUGUGAUGUAUUGGAAACAUCCCAUAAUUUUGAAUAAGAGCAGCAUCAAGUACACAGAGGACUGCUGGACCUAGAACGAC
Molecule: long non-coding RNA, 2971 nt
Filed under: Homo sapiens (human)
Lineage: Eukaryota; Metazoa; Chordata; Mammalia; Primates; Hominidae
Description: HSALNT0211139
Source: RNAcentral